UUCUUCAGAUCAUCAUCAGAGUCAUCAUCGUAAUCGCGGAUUUCGAAUCGGUUGGGGGCGAAGAGAGACCAGAUCAGGUAAAAAGUCGCGGCGGUCAACGCGCCGCAACCGACGCCAAACAGAAGAGACGCAACGACGGUGAGAAUGUCCUUGGUGCGAUCGCGAAAUGACGAUCCGACGAAGGAGUCGAAGCCGAAGGGCUGGGGUCGCUUUUCCUCAUCGGCUUUCGCGCGAUCGAGGAAAAUUACGGGCUCGGGUUCGAGAUCUCUGGAUCCGGUGAAGAAGAAGGUGAUCGAUCGGCGUUCGGAGAGAGAGGAGGGGUUUCGGAGAGAGAAACUAGGAUUUUGAUCGACGGGGAAGGAGGAGGAGAAGAAGAUUAGGGUUUGGCAGGGGCCGGGCCGGCGUAGGCGGCGAUGGCGAGGAGGCCGAGGAGGAGAGAGAAUCGGAAGAGGAUACGGUGGCCCGAUGUCGCCAUUGAUGAGAGCGAGCGAGAGAAAUCCUUGGGAAAGGAUUGCAAGUCUUCACUAUAUUCGGCAAUUCUGA
Molecule: long non-coding RNA, 543 nt
Filed under: Actinidia chinensis (golden kiwifruit)
Lineage: Eukaryota; Viridiplantae; Streptophyta; Magnoliopsida; Ericales; Actinidiaceae
Description: long non-coding RNA (ACHI_LNC009167)
Source: RNAcentral